This 374-nucleotide ribosomal RNA is filed under the name uncultured organism. RNAcentral's name for it is "partial 16S ribosomal RNA". It matches the Rfam family "Bacterial small subunit ribosomal RNA", at positions 527 to 896 of the family's 1533-position model. The record is from RNAcentral.
GUAGGUGGCAAGCGUUGUCCGGAAUUAUUGGGCGUAAAGCGCGCGCAGGUGGUUCUUUAAGUCUGAUGUGAAAGCCCCCGGCUCAGCCGGGGAGGGUCAUUGGAAACUGGGGAACUUGAGUGCAGGAGAGGAAAGUGGAAUUCCACGUGUAGCGGUGAAAUGCGUAGAUAUGUGGAGGAACACCAGUGGCGAAGGCGACUUUCUGGCCUGUAACUGACACUGAGGCGCGAAAGCGUGGGGAGCAAACAGGGAUUAGAUACCCUGGUAGUCCACGCCGUAAACGAUGAGUGCUAAGUGUUGGGGGGGUUUCCGCCCCCUCAGUGCUGCAGCUAACGCAUUAAGCACUCCGCCCUGGGAGUACGGUCGCAAGACUG